GAGUUCUGGCAGUGGCUGAGGGGCCCAUCAGCAGAAGCAGCAGUAAAAGUAAUGUUUGUGGAGAGGCGGACGGAGAAAGAAGAUAUCAGAUUAAGAACUGAAGAUUGAAUGGAUAAGAGAA
Molecule: long non-coding RNA, 121 nt
Organism: Spea bombifrons (plains spadefoot toad)
Lineage: Eukaryota; Metazoa; Chordata; Amphibia; Anura; Pelobatidae
Exons: 2
Source: RefSeq, a predicted model, not a curated record